Molecule: ribosomal RNA, 243 nt
Filed under: uncultured bacterium
Lineage: Bacteria
Description: partial 16S ribosomal RNA
Rfam family: Bacterial small subunit ribosomal RNA
Source: RNAcentral
UACGUAGGGUGCGAGCGUUGUCCGGAAUUAUUGGGCGUAAAGGGCUCGUAGGCGGUCUGUCACGUCGGGAGUGAAAACUCAGGGCUUAACCCUGAGCCUGCUUCCGAUACGGGCAGACUAGAGGUAUGCAGGGGAGAACGGAAUUCCUGGUGUAGCGGUGAAAUGCGCAGAUAUCAGGAGGAACACCGGUGGCGAAGGCGGUUCUCUGGGCAUUACCUGACGCUGAGGAGCGAAAGUGUGGGG